GAGGAAGUCGGGACCUUCAGUGAGGAUGGCUGGCGACCAAAGAACUGAACUUUAACACGUGAGUUGGUCUCCCUGCGACCACAGAUGUCCAACGCAGGCCCACCUCCCGCCGCCUGGAAGGCCCAGGUGUGGCUGGAGGGCGGCUGAAAGGGUCAGAACACGAGAUUAUUCUCAACUUUGGGCUUUUACACAGCAGUUUCAAAGACAAAGGGGCUUUUCAGGUAGGUUUGGUUUGCCGUCCUCCUCCUCCCAGGUCUGAGCUUGUUCCCCAAGGUCCCCAGCCAUGCUUGGGACGUCCUUCAGUUUGCCCCAUUUUCUUCGGGCCACCCCGCGCCCCUAGGUUGUCUGCCGUCCCUCCUAGCGAGAGGUGGAUGGCCGCGACAUUCCAGGGAGGAAAAAUGGACGGGUGAGGGGGGGCAAAGACGCCCUUCUGACCUCCUACCUCACCUCGGUGACGCGUCCCACCACGCCCGCGAGGAGCCCGCAGGCUACGCCUUCGCCGCGCUAGCUCCCGUCGCUCCGAUCCUCGGCGGGGGGAGGGGCGCGGUGCGGCCGGCGCUCUCUGAUUGGCUCCCGCGUCGGCGAUCCACGCCACGAUUGUUCCCUGCGACCGUCUGGCGCCAGCGCACUGCAGGUGGGGAGUGGGCGUUGGAAGUUGCUGGAAGUUGGAGGCAGGGGAGCGGUCACUCGCGGCGAGCGCCGGCGGCGUCCAGGGCGCAAAGUUGAGAGCAGUCCCUAGUCUGAGCCUUUCAGUCGCGCUCCAGUAUCAUCAGUACCACGGACUUCACCAUGGACUUACCACUUGCUGCGGCCCCUCAGCAACCCAGUGCACCUGCCACUCCACCAGGCCCCAGGGGAACGAAUGUGUGGAAGCUGCAGCGGAGCCUUCUGCUCAAGAGUAAAGGACCCGUCUGAAACCUACAAGAACAGAAGAGCCAUGUGACCGGAUCCCCAGUUUGGCAGAGGAGACAUGUGAGAGGACGGAAGGUUUUGGCCGAAAAGACAUCUGGCAGGGAACAGAGAGAACAGGUGUGGCAGAGAGAACGUCUGAGAAGCUUGCACGAUUCGCAGAAGGAGCAUCGGUAGAAGAUUGCCUGUUUGCCCAAAGGAACGUCAAGUUCCAAAGGAAUGUUUCUGGUGGCUUACAAGGACUAUCUCCAACGUGCUUGGUCUCGCUUAACUUUCGCAGGAUCCUGAAUCGGGCAUCUACUGUUCGUCCUUACUGCUCUGGGAUGUCUCGGUCUUACCAUGUCCCUGCCAACCCUGGUCCUAUCUUGUCACGAUCACCCACUGAAGAGAGGAGGUGCUGGAGUGAACGUGGUUGGGGGAGCCCCGUUCAUCCCCAGGGUCCCAGAAUGAACCAGUGUUACCAUGUACUCCUGGUCUUGCCUUCCUUCCUGCUCUAA
This 1406-nucleotide long non-coding RNA is filed under the name Papio anubis (olive baboon). Its description in RNAcentral is "lncRNA (ENSPANG00000036776.2)". Lineage: Eukaryota; Metazoa; Chordata; Mammalia; Primates; Cercopithecidae. The record is from RNAcentral.